RNAcentral lists this ribosomal RNA (758 nucleotides) under uncultured bacterium. Its description in RNAcentral is "bacterial SSU rRNA". It matches the Rfam family "Bacterial small subunit ribosomal RNA", at positions 8 to 794 of the family's 1533-position model. The record is from RNAcentral.
AGAGUUUGAUCAUGGCUCAGGAUGAACGCUGGCGGCGUGCCUAACACAUGCAAGUCGAGCGAUUUUCUUCGGAGAAGAGCGGCGGACGGGUGAGUAACGCGUGGGUAACCUGCCCUGUACACACGGAUAACAUACCGAAAGGUAUGCUAAUACGAGAUAACAUACUUUUAUCGCAUGGUAGAAGUAUCAAAGCUUUUGCGGUACAGGAUGGACCCGCGUCUGAUUAGCUAGUUGGUAAGGUAACGGCUUACCAAGGCGACGAUCAGUAGCCGACCUGAGAGGGUGAUCGGCCACAUUGGAACUGAGACACGGUCCAAACUCCUACGGGAGGCAGCAGUGGGGAAUAUUGCACAAUGGGCGAAAGCCUGAUGCAGCAACGCCGCGUGAGCGAUGAAGGCCUUCGGGUCGUAAAGCUCUGUCCUCAAGGAAGAUAAUGACGGUACUUGAGGAGGAAGCCCCGGCUAACUACGUGCCAGCAGCCGCGGUAAUACGUAGGGGGCUAGCGUUAUCCGGAAUUACUGGGCGUAAAGGGUGCGUAGGUGGUUUCUUAAGUCAGAGGUGAAAGGCUACGGCUCAACCGUAGUAAGCCUUUGAAACUGGGAAACUUGAGUGCAGGAGAGGAGAGUGGAAUUCCUAGUGUAGCGGUGAAAUGCGUAGAUAUUAGGAGGAACACCAGUUGCGAAGGCGGCUCUCUGGACUGUAACUGACACUGAGGCACGAAAGCGUGGGGAGCAAACAGGAUUAGAUACCCUGGUAGU